Molecule: long non-coding RNA, 311 nt
Filed under: Elaeis guineensis (African oil palm)
Lineage: Eukaryota; Viridiplantae; Streptophyta; Magnoliopsida; Arecales; Arecaceae
Description: long non-coding RNA (EGUI_LNC006987)
Source: RNAcentral
AGCCAAGAGCCGGGACGAACUUUCUCCCAGCUGGCCGAUCUUCCCCAUCGCGGCCGACAGUUCCACCUUGAGGGCGCUAAUCUUGGCGGCCUGAGCCCAAAUUCAGUCGCUGGCGCUCUUCUUGCAUUCUGCGAGCUCCUUCACGAAAUCCGCCUUCCUCCGGCUAUACUCCAUGAUCCCCUUCACGUGGAGAUUCUGAAAGUGGGUGGCCUCCGCGGUGGCUUCAGAAUGACCUUCUCUCAAUCUGCGAAGCUCGUCUUCCAUCUUCUUUGACUUCUUUGUCAAGUGAAGGACUUCCUUCUUCAGCCGCU